UGGUUUAGCUUGGGUCUGCAUGUUCAGACUGAUGUGGCUGAGUCUGGACUACUGACUGUUGAAAUCCCGUCUUUGACCUUGCAUGAUUUGAGUAGAAGUUGGCAGAAAUCUUGCAGGAGUAAUUUCUGCCUCAUAGAGGAUCCUGUCAGCACGGGAUGAGAUUUGCUAAGGCAGGACUCUGGUUUGGUCAUGCUGGAAUCAGCUCUGUGUUUCUACUGAAUCAAAGUCUGCAUAAAUUAAAACCAAAGCAUGGUACUUCAUUCAGAGACUUUAAAUCCAACCUGUUCAUCCUGUAUUUUCAAGAGGUUCACAACUGAGGGUUGGAUAUCAGGAAACUUUCAUUGAGGGAGUGACUCUUUAAAGAGUUGCAAAAGGUCUAGAAACCAGAGUUCUUUAUUCACAAGCCAUGCACAGUGCAGACAGCAGCAAUUGCAGCAAUCCUUUUCCCCAGGAACUGCAAACAAGCUUAACCCUGAGCUGGAAAGCCGUGCUCUGGAGAGGUGAAAGGAAAUUCAAUAUCUGAGCUGAAUGUGUUCUGACUUCCUUGGAAGACAAGAGUGCCAAUUGUACAAAGUUAUGAUGAUGAUGAUGAUGAUGUGAUGAGGACCCAAGGUUCACUGAGGCCUCCAUCAGCCAGGGACAUGCAUGGAGGACUCCAAGAUCAGCAGUCCCAUGGGGUGGGGGACAUGGGGUCGGCAGUAGGCCUGUGUUAUUCUUAUCCCUACUGCACUUGGAUGCCUUGGACAGCUUCAAGCACGGAGGGGCUGGGAUUCCCAUAUGUUGAGUGCUUGGCAGGCAGAGGGGGAAGCUCCUUCAGGAACCUCCUUGUUUUUGCUUCAGUCCUCCCUGGAGAGGAGGUGGCCUUGCUGCUGGUGUCCCCUGAAGGGGGGCAGGUUUGUGCUGUCACUGCUGCCAAG
Molecule: long non-coding RNA, 917 nt
Filed under: Taeniopygia guttata (zebra finch)
Lineage: Eukaryota; Metazoa; Chordata; Aves; Passeriformes; Estrildidae
Description: lncRNA (ENSTGUG00000029700.1)
Source: RNAcentral